Molecule: long non-coding RNA, 246 nt
Organism: Acipenser ruthenus (sterlet)
Lineage: Eukaryota; Metazoa; Chordata; Actinopteri; Acipenseriformes; Acipenseridae
Exons: 3
Source: RefSeq, a predicted model, not a curated record
CUUCCCUUACCAACAUGGCUGGUUCCCCACUUCCUGUCAAGAUGGAGGACCAUACCACCACACCCAACUCAGGACACUCCCAACCACAGGCCUCCAGUCCCGAUACACCAGAGCAUGAGAGAAGAUCAGCAGACCAGGUUUUUGAAGCCUCAGAUUAACUAUGGCGAUCGGGUGUCUGCUUCGGUCCUUCGCGCUCUGCUUUUCCAGCUGCAAACAAGAAGCCCAGGAAGUUGUACAAGCGAUCAU